GGGCAUCCGGGAUGACAGCGUCUCCGGCGAAGAUGCUGUCGGCGGAUUCGUACAUGUCCGAGCAGGGUAGCUGGAACAUCAUGAACGGAUCGAACCCAAGCUCGUCGGCGAACCCCAGCAUGGCGCCGCCGCCGCUCCCCACAGAAGAGUCCUCGUCGACCCUCGGCAUCGUGUCGGCGAAGGUGCUCGCCGUGACAGGCGGUAGCGCGGCGACGGCAGUGGUCAGGUGGACGAUGGCGUCCACGUUGAAAAACUCCAUCAGCUCGGG
Molecule: long non-coding RNA, 268 nt
Filed under: Hordeum vulgare
Lineage: Eukaryota; Viridiplantae; Streptophyta; Magnoliopsida; Poales; Poaceae
Description: long non-coding RNA (HVUL_LNC011030)
Source: RNAcentral